Molecule: long non-coding RNA, 273 nt
Filed under: Gallus gallus (chicken)
Lineage: Eukaryota; Metazoa; Chordata; Aves; Galliformes; Phasianidae
Source: RNAcentral
CAGCGCCCGGAGCUGCCGCCCUGUGCCGUCCCCGCCUGCAGGGGCAGCGCCGCCGCCGUGGGCUCCGGAGGGUCCCCGGGUGUUCGUCUUUUAGCUCAUCAGUUCUCGAAUGUGGCCCGGAGUGCCUUUGAGACGUCACAGAUGAGCGCAGGAGGUGGCUUGCACCUUCUGUGGCCGGGAGCUGAAACAACAAGCAGUGCCUUGCUCAGGAGCGAGCAAUGUCGAUGUACUGUGAUAGCCUCAGGCCAUCCCAUGAUUCUAUGACUGUCGUCG